AGGGUUGUAGCUCAGUGGUAGAGCACUUGCCUUGCAAGCGUGAGGCACUGGGAUAGAUUCUCAGCACCACAG
Molecule: non-coding RNA, 72 nt
Organism: Ictidomys tridecemlineatus (thirteen-lined ground squirrel)
Lineage: Eukaryota; Metazoa; Chordata; Mammalia; Rodentia; Sciuridae
Source: Rfam